Molecule: transfer RNA, 76 nt
Filed under: Alphaproteobacteria bacterium
Lineage: Bacteria; Pseudomonadati; Pseudomonadota; Alphaproteobacteria
Description: tRNA-Asn
Rfam family: tRNA
About the family: Transfer RNA (tRNA) molecules are approximately 80 nucleotides in length.
Source: RNAcentral
UCCCAGGUAGCUCAGUUGGUAGAGCGAGCGGCUGUUAACCGCUUUGUCGGGGGUUCGAGUCCCUCCCUGGGAGCCA